AACGAACGCUGGCGGCAUGCCUAAUACAUGCAAGUCGAACGAGAUCUUCGGAUCUAGUGGCGCACGGGUGCGUAACGCGUGGGAAUCUGCCCUUGGGUUCGGAAUAACUUCUGGAAACGGAAGCUAAUACCGGAUGAUGACGUAAGUCCAAAGAUUUAUCGCCCAAGGAUGAGCCCGCGUAGGAUUAGCUAGUUGGUGGGGUAAAGGCCCACCAAGGCGACGAUCCUUAGCUGGUCUGAGAGGAUGAUCAGCCACACUGGGACUGAGACACGGCCCAGACUCCUACGGGAGGCAGCAGUAGGGAAUAUUGGACAAUGGGGGAAACCCUGAUCCAGCAAUGCCGCGUGAGUGAUGAAGGCCUUAGGGUUGUAAAGCUCUUUUACCCGGGAUGAUAAUGACAGUACCGGGAGAAUAAGCGCCGGCUAACUCCGUG
RNAcentral lists this ribosomal RNA (433 nucleotides) under uncultured bacterium. RNAcentral's name for it is "partial 16S ribosomal RNA". It matches the Rfam family "Bacterial small subunit ribosomal RNA", at positions 29 to 507 of the family's 1533-position model. The record is from RNAcentral.